ACUUAAAUUGAAGAGUUUGAUCAUGGCUCAGAUUGAACGCUGGCGGCAGGCCUAACACAUGCAAGUCGAGCGGCAGCGGGAAAGUAGCUUGCUACUUUUGCCGGCGAGCGGCGGACGGGUGAGUAAUG
RNAcentral lists this ribosomal RNA (128 nucleotides) under Aeromonas veronii. Its description in RNAcentral is "partial 16S ribosomal RNA". It matches the Rfam family "Bacterial small subunit ribosomal RNA", at positions 1 to 115 of the family's 1533-position model. Lineage: Bacteria; Pseudomonadati; Pseudomonadota; Gammaproteobacteria; Aeromonadales; Aeromonadaceae. The record is from RNAcentral.